AAGGAGAAAAGCACUGGGAGGCGUCUGCGGGUGGCUAUUCAUUUACCCGACACGGUCGUAGAACAUUUUGGUGUUUCACGUAUCGAGUGCGCAGCAAGCAAGUCACGUUCAAAGCACAGACGUUGCAGUCGAGCGAUGCUUCAUUCGGCCGCUGAAGCGAAUCAGCCUUCAGCAGCUGCCGAGUCCUCAAUCCCAUACCCGCACACGAGCGACUGCUGCAUAUGGUGUUUCGGUGGCGGCGGACAAGCUUCUCGGGCGGGAGUUUCUGUGCACUAGGGCUGCGUGAGUAGCGCCGCCGGGGCGUAAAACCUUUCCGCAGCACCACGUGAUGGGAAUCAUUUCAAGAAUCUGGCUUUCAGGUAACGCUUGAUGGGGGUUUCACGAGACCCGCUGCUUUCUUUGUGGGUGCAUUAUGCCAGUCUGCAGGAUGCGGCUCUAUCGGUGUCCCGAUGUGCUGCAGUUUUGACCGGCGGUGCCUGCGUUCGGUACGAAUAUGGGGCGCUGCGUGCCCGGGAGCGCACGAACCUGGACGCUGUGGGGCUGCUUCCUCGCACGCCGUUGAACAAGCUCGCCGAACACGCCACUGGAUACGAAGACGCUGGUGCUGUUGCUGCUGAUUGCGUGCGGGGAUUCACCUGAUCUUCGUUAGACGCGAUCGGAAGGUUACAUGCCGAUAUUCGUGCGGGUGCGACCUCGUAUUCCAGUCGUCGUCGUCGUUACGCAUAUUCUAGAAAGAAAUGCAAAGGGUGCUCCAGGACGAAAACAAAAAAGGAUUCUUGGGACAGUUCCUGAUGUAAUCAGUACUGAGCAUUGUGGGCUUUUCAUGCGACUGCUCUCGAUCGCUCCCUCUUAUCUCCGAGCCUGAAAUGGAUCGGUCUUCUUUCUCCCGCCAGAUAUGUUUCAGGACGUCGAGGGGUGUUCAUGGCAGCGUCCUAGGCCGCAUGGCGUUGCUCCUGGCUGCUGAACAAACGUUUCACGCGCAGGAAAACGUAACGAUCUAUGCUUCGCAUGCCAUUCGCAUCUUCUUCGUAUACAGUCUCAGUGUGUGACCUUCUUCGUCAUGAAAUUGGAGGCUAUUCACGCAUUCUAAGUAUUUUGGCCAGUAUUCCGCUUCCAUCGCGCUGUACUGGAGCAGGGUAACACCUCCUUCAUCGCACGAUGCGUACCGUUGACCGGUACAGAAGGCUUCCGCGAAUGCACGCCUCCGGGUCCACACCAGGUACCUUGCCUCACGAGCAUGUGCUCCUUAUUUGCGAUUCCCGCAGCGACGACGAUGUCCGCUGCAUAGACAACCGCUCGACGUCAUCGUCGGUGAGGGAUCUAUGGACCGCGCUCUUGUCCAUGAUGAGACAAGGAGCGGAACCAAAAAGCAGGCAUGUACGCUGGCCGGGAAACUCGGGUGCGUCACUGCACCUGUCGUACUGAGCGGUGACGCACGCUCCACUGGAAGCGAUCACUGCGAUGCUUGACGUCCGCGUCCGAGAUCCUUCUGCGUACAGACGGAAGCGACAGGGAGCCUCUAGAUGCAUAUCCUGCGACAGGUAUCAUGUUGCACUCGAACGCCGUCUCAUGUCUGGCUACAACGAGCAGCGUACUCGAAUGUGGAACGGAAUCGAUCAAUGGGCGUGACGAGUUCACAGCGGUUCCCGUAUGAGCUUGUGGAGGAAUCGUUGGAGGUCGACCUUGAGGAUUCUCGCUUGACCAUGCAGCGGUGCGGUUGCGCAGCACCGACGAUCUGCCGUCAAACAGCAUGAUCGAAACGGUGAACAGUGCGUGGAUUGAGCAUGGAAAGCGGAGAGCAGGCACACGAGCGAAGACGCUCUCGUAUGGACAUGUUAUUGAUAGGGGCUAUGGAGGGAGCUCAUGUUGUAAAACGCCGCGAUCCAUCUGGAUUCCAGCGACA
This 1903-nucleotide unclassified non-coding RNA is filed under the name Cyanidioschyzon merolae strain 10D. Its description in RNAcentral is "hypothetical transcript". Lineage: Eukaryota; Rhodophyta; Bangiophyceae; Cyanidiales; Cyanidiaceae. The record is from RNAcentral.